Molecule: long non-coding RNA, 4036 nt
Organism: Oncorhynchus nerka (sockeye salmon)
Lineage: Eukaryota; Metazoa; Chordata; Actinopteri; Salmoniformes; Salmonidae
Exons: 10
Source: RefSeq, a predicted model, not a curated record
GGAAAGAGUGGACAUAUCGAGAGCGUGGAUCCGCCGAACAUCCGUAGUCAUUCACUGAACCACAGCAUUUCUUCACUUCUGAACAUAAUCAGAGAUCCAGGAUGCAGGCUGUACGAGUGAAGUACAGGGAUUGUCAGAAGUAUUUUUGUUAUGAGGUGCAACUGACCUUCAAAUCCUUUUUGGAUUGAGAUUCGUUGAGCUCUUCUGCAAGCAGCUCCUUAUCAAAAUACAGUGGAGACAAUGAGGGGGACUCCAAUGACACCAUUAUAUUGCAGCAGAGUCCUGCUACAAGAAAGACAGCUGAGGAUAAUCGUCUAUCUCAUAUGAUUGAAGACAUUCUGAACAACAAACCUGGAGGAGAGAGGAUCAUGAUUGAGUAUGCUCGGACAAAAAGCCUAACAGAUAGCAGAAGACGCGAUAUGGCCAAGAUAUUAGUUGCACAAAUGACAAGUGAACAUGGUGUGUGUGUCUAGGACAAGUCCUUCAAGGCGUGUUAGAGGACUACGCAAAGGGCAUCAUUGCCUUGUUCCCAUACCUGGCCGAUCCUAGGAGCAAAUUUGGUUAUGAGCAUUAUUACAGUGCAGAAGAUGGGAGUGGAUAUCUAGCAUGGAGACUGAAAUUUGUGCAAAGGGAAGCAUCAGAGGGACGACAGAAGACCAUGCAUCAGUCACUGACGUGUGGUCCAAAAGCUGAUGGACAGUUUUCCUCUCUGAAGGAGUCUCUAACAUACAGCUGAAGCAUACAGCUGAUGAAACAAUUGUAAAGGAGAAGAUGAAGCAGAUGUUCGCCUAUCGUCAAAAUAUGGUUCAUGAACCAGUGAAGUCCUCUGAAAUAUUCACAGCGUUUCCAAGAUUCCAAGACAUAGCAGCAAUGAUUUUAGUCUGAUGUUUGGUGAUGCAACCUCUGCAAAGUUCCUGGAGAAGUGGCCUACUCUCUACAAGGAGAAAGUCAUUGACCAAAGCAGUGGCCUCACACAGACAGGUGACCUGGUUCAAAAUGCUGAAUCCACAACAGAAGUGGAAAAUGGAUGGGACAGUGACAUGUCCUCCAUUUUGGUCCUUGUCCACCUUCUGCCACAGUCACCUCAUGGCUGCAAGAGACCAGGAAAAAUCUCAGCCAGACACACCAGUGAACACAUUGAAGUUUAUCACGGUGUCAUUACAGUUGACUGUUCUGUCCCCAUUCCUAAUCCUAAUAACUACUUUUAAGAUUAUGGACAAAUCAUGACUGGGACCAGCAUCCAGGGGCAUCUGGAGAGCGUGAUGGAAAGCCUUCAACCCUAUCUGCUUGCUGUGGGUUCCCAGAGGAGUGGGAUUCACAAGUACUCCAUUGUGAUUGACAAACAUGCAAUACCUUGUAAGUCACCAGACUCUAUUGCCUGUUUUGAUGAGCUUUUCAAAGCUCAUGUUUGUCUUUGGUACCUCGUACAAUCAGGAUCUGGUAAAUGUGUACAACUUUUGCAAACCACAAUUUAUGAAAUUGAUGUUGAUACCACCAAGGUUAAUCCUAGGGUUGCAGAGUUGAGGGCUCGGAUGCUGCAUUGAGUUACUAAAAGUUUAGAAGUUGCAAAGAGUUAAAACGCAGCAUAGGAAAUAACCUUUUUCCUUUCACACAAACGUUUUCAUAUCAUUCAUCUAAAAUGUUGUGUUUCGCUUGCAAAAGCCCACAGGCAAAUGCCAAUUCCUUGACAAAACAAUUGAAGUUGGUCCACGGACUUUGUCAAGGAAAGACACUUGGUCUUAAAUGCGGUCAGGCUGGUUGUUCACAAGUUUAUGGCACUUUUUCUGGGUUCAGAAAGGAUCUUUAUACAGCACAUGAACCUUGUUCUGAUCACGGUGAAGGCUCCUGAAUAUGUAGCAGUAAGUCAUUUUGAUGACCUGCCAUCAACAAGUUCCCCUUCUGACUCAGUCCUUGCCAAUAAGAGUCUUGUAGACAGCUGCGCUGCAACCAUAGCUGAACUUAAAGUGGCAGGUGUAGGUGAAACAACCAUUAACUCUUUGGUAAUUUCCAAUGAAGAGAUAGUUGAUGAUAUUCAUAUUCAAGCUAAAGAAUCUGGGAAGAAGUGUCUGUCUAUACAGGAGCCUAUUAAAAGUGACAUUGAGUGUAAAAUUGAUCAGUGUUUAAAAAAAAAUGUAAAAUCCCUUUGGUGUAUUAAAUUCUGAAAGUAAGAGAAGGCAGUAUUUGACAGAAAAGUGGGGAAGGUUAGACCCAGUUGAAUGCGUUCUUGUUACAAGAUUUGAUACACAAUGCAAUCGGACUACGGGAGGCUACGAUCAAAUUGUUACUGAUACAUUUGUUUACAUCCCAAUUUUGAAAACAUUAGUUUAUUUACAAACACCCUAAUAUAAAGGAGAUGAUGCAGACUGAUUCCAGUUCAAGAGAACUUUGACUUAUGUGAUGGAGAUCUGUUCCAAGAGCCAUGCUCUAUUUUCAAAACAGAAGCAAUUCAGAUACAGCUUCUCUGUGAUGAUUUUGAAACUGUAAAUCCUCUUGGAUCAAAACAGGGAAAACAAAAUAAAUUAGGAGCAAUCUAUUUCAAUUUAUGUAAUUUUUCUCCAAAGUUCAAAUCAUUUCUGCUUAAUAGUAAUUUGGUUGCUUUAUUUCAUGCCCAAGACAUUAAAACAUAUGGCUUUUCUAAAAUACUUGAUCCAAUUGUGCAGGAUAUUAAAAUUACUUGAGGGAUGGAUUUAUGGUUCCCUUGUAUGAUCAACCAGUGUAUGGAACUAUUGUCCAAGUCACAGGUGACAACCUUGGUCUUCACUGUUUAUUUGGUUUUGUCGAAUCAUUCAUUACCAGAUAUUGUUGUCCCUUUUGUCUUGCUGAGACAGACGACUUUCAGACUGAAUUUGAUGAAGAUUCACCCAAGAUAGUUAUGCGAACUCGAGCACUUCAUGCAGAACACUGCCACAAAAAAAAGGCGACAAAUCCCAGUCUUCCCUAUGUGUGAUGGGUGUUAAACAUUCUUGCGUUCUAAACUCCUUGCCGUACUUCAAUACACGUGAAAACUUCUCUCUCGAUAUUAUCCAUGAUAUCUUGGAGGGAGCGGCACAAUAUGAAAUGAAACUGCUAGUACUGCACUUGAUAGACAAGUACACAACAUCAAAUGAAAUAGACAGGAGAAUAAAGAGCUUUAACUAUGGUUACAUGGAGCAAAACAACAAACCUCCUGCAGUGAAGUUAGGAGAGAACUCUAAUAACUUGGGGUUAAAUUGCUAUCCAGUCCUGGUGUUUACUUCGCAAUCUACCACUUCUCUUUGGAGACUUAGUUUGUCCAAAUGAUCUACACUGGUAUUUACUGUUGCUGUUGCUUCAGUGAUAUCUCCAAUGAUAUCAAAGGGUGUUACAAUUUUUUUGAAACACUUAAUCGCAGAACACCACAGGUUAUUCAAGCAAUUGUUUCCAAAAAAGAGGCUGCUACCGAAGCAUCAUUUUAUGGUGCGUUACCCCACAUGUAUGCUUGAAAUUUGACCAAUUUUACAUAGCUGGUGCAUGUGCAAAAUGAAGCAAAGCAUAAUUCCUUUAAAAAACAAUUAAAAAGCUUAAAUGUAACAAACAUUGGCAAAAAGAACACAAGUCAAACAGCAUACAGUUGGUAGACAUUUGACACCAACAGAGUCAUGAUUAGUCCAGGUAAAAUGUUAUCUUUAAAUGUCAUGGACUGGGGCUGUGAUUCAAGUUUGUUUAUUGUCUCAUACUGUUUCCCGUGACUCUAAAAACGGCACAGUAAGCUCUUUAAAACCAAGAUGUAUUGUAUUGCAAUAUUGGCCUUUUGAUUUACUUUUCAAGGAGGGACAGAUGCCAAAAUGUCAUUUUACAGAGGCCACAAUUUUAUUUGAUCAUCAGUGUUUUUGAUAUCUGAGAUGCUAGUUUCACAAAAUCCUCCAUGUCAUUGUUAGAUGUAUUGAAUUGCAAUAUUGAGCUUUUCUAUGUACAUGUAUUCAAGUGAACAGAGGCCAACAUUUCAUUUCAGUCCACAAUUGUAUUUUAUUAUCAUCAGUAUUUUGAUGUAUGUAUUGCAAAUGUCUUACAUUUAAGA